Molecule: transfer RNA, 98 nt
Filed under: Saccharomyces cerevisiae (brewer's yeast)
Lineage: Eukaryota; Fungi; Ascomycota; Saccharomycetes; Saccharomycetales; Saccharomycetaceae
Rfam family: tRNA
About the family: Transfer RNA (tRNA) molecules are approximately 80 nucleotides in length.
Source: RNAcentral
UCCUUGUUAGCUCAGUUGGUAGAGCGUUCGGCUUUUGACCGCAUUUAACUUAAGCCAAGGAUACCGAAAUGUCAGGGGUUCGAGCCCCCUAUGAGGAG